AUGGCAUGCAGCAUAUAUACCCCUACAAAUAGUUCUAAAAUGCGUUUGCAAAUGCAGAAGUCUUCAGAACCUUCCAACAGUUCAGAACACCCUUUUUAUCUCUUCUCUGCGGGACGUCUCCUCCAGAUUACUCGAAAAAAGCGGAAAAGAUCGCAUUGGAAUAUAGAGCCAGAUUGUCAGCUGCAUAACUACAUUGAAGGCAAGGAAACUAGCAUAACUACAUUGAAGGCAAGGAAACAUCCGGUUUACACCAGCCGAGGAUCUCGCUGAUAGUUUUACCCCUCUCAAUCACGAAAAGUGGUUAUGUUGGGACUCCCAGGAAAGGAUUAUUGUCUUCUGAAAAGCAUCAAAUGAAUUUCACAUCUUCUAGUCUCAGACAGUUGGUCUUUGGCUCAAUUAUGGAGAAAGGGUGAACUCUCAGCUACAGAAUCAGGCGGCCUUAUUCUCACACAGCAAGACACAAGGGGCUCUCACUGAAAUCAAGGUGAGUUAUCAGUAGUUUAUGCAGUGCGAUUGGGAGCCUGUAUUUUGUAGGAUGAGCAAUCUCCUGGUUAUGGACAAAAUGAUGAAAGAAAAGGGGGAAGCCACUUUGAAUGGUUUGGUGUAUGGUUCAGAUACGAGCAAAAUGACUCUAGAGAAAGAAGUCUGAGACCUAGCGAACAUUCCUUUAUUGUGAUACAAAGUUCUCUUUGGUAAUGUAUUUGCAGACCAACACACUCUUGCCUUGAUGUUCUCAAGGUAUUCCUGCGUGUUUCAUGAAGCAGUUUGCUGCAUUGUCCCGUUAUGUUUUCAGUUGGACUGUAGGUUCACCCACUAGAUCUUUAACCUAGAUUAUUCUCGCAGUUUUACCCCAAGUUCUACAUGUUGUAUCUCACAUUGUUCUCCCUGUUUUCUCUACUGAAAAAUUAAAUAGGACUUGUGAAGCUGAUAACGCUGCACCCUUCCAGUUUGCCUCAACUUCUGUCCUGGAGGGACCCUUUCAUCGACAAUGGGACAUAGUCCAGCCUUUCUUCCCAUUUGGUCUUUGGCUUCUCUGGCAAGGCUGCCAAGGAAGAUACACAUUGUGAUCAUAGUGUUGACCUCUAUCCAGUAGGAACUGGAGUGAGACCAUCAUUUCAUUUCAUAUAGGUCUCCAGGGACAAUCAGAUGGAGAUGACUGUCCAUAGGGGUGGCUUGAAUUUGAAUUAGUGUCCUAAAAUGAGUUUCCUUACCCUGUUACCCAUAAUGCUUGCUGUGCAUUGCUCCAG
This 1247-nucleotide long non-coding RNA is filed under the name Chrysemys picta bellii (western painted turtle). Its description in RNAcentral is "lncRNA (ENSCPBG00000014956.1)". The record is from RNAcentral. Lineage: Eukaryota; Metazoa; Chordata; Testudines; Emydidae.